CGCCGCCCUUAUCGAAGCUGCAGCUGCUUCCGUGUGGCCGCUGUGGUCAAAGAGGAACCCAGAGUUUUCCCUGGUGGUCGCUGUUCUGCUUGGUGGCCGGUCUACAGCAUUGUGGGGAAAGACAGGC
This 127-nucleotide small nucleolar RNA is filed under the name Tupaia belangeri (northern tree shrew). The record is from RNAcentral. Lineage: Eukaryota; Metazoa; Chordata; Mammalia; Scandentia; Tupaiidae.